Molecule: long non-coding RNA, 443 nt
Organism: Mauremys reevesii (Reeves's turtle)
Lineage: Eukaryota; Metazoa; Chordata; Testudines; Geoemydidae
Exons: 2
Source: RefSeq, a predicted model, not a curated record
GUUAGAACCUUCCUUGGGAUUUCUUAGGAAUGGCCCUGUAAGAAAGCCUCAGUGUCCCUUAGGAAGAAGAGACUGAGUAGAAGUGGGGGGGGAGGCAACAGUAACAGGACCCACCCCUGUCCCAGUGGACAGAAGGAGAGAAUGAGGGAGAACACUUCUUGAUCCACUGGCUUCCCAGCCCCACCUGGAGCUCAGGAGAGGGCUAACUGAUGUGCUAAAAAUGCUGAUGGGUAGAGCCUUGUCUAUGCUAUAGCCUCUACCGGAACUGAGACCCCUGGCAACUGUUUUGAUGAAGUUCUGUUGCUUAUGUGGGCCUUUCACAUAGCAAUAUGGGGAAACUAUUGAAAGAAAUAGGAGAACAUGACUGUAAACCUACAUUUUAAUGAAUUACAUUUGAAGUUGAUAAUGUCCCCUUUUAAAAUAUAAGUCCUUAAAUUACUAAA